RNAcentral lists this ribosomal RNA (427 nucleotides) under uncultured beta proteobacterium. RNAcentral describes it as "bacterial SSU rRNA". It matches the Rfam family "Bacterial small subunit ribosomal RNA", at positions 958 to 1385 of the family's 1533-position model. The record is from RNAcentral. Lineage: Bacteria; Pseudomonadati; Pseudomonadota; Betaproteobacteria.
AACGCGAAGAACCUUACCUACCCUUGACUUGUAGCGAACCUCGCAGAGAUGUGAGGGUGCCCGAAAGGGAACGCUAACACAGGUGCUGCAUGGCUGUCGUCAGCUCGUGUCGUGAGAUGUUGGGUUAAGUCCCGCAACGAGCGCAACCCUUGUCAUUAGUUGCCACAUUUAGUUGGGCACUCUAAUGAGACUGCCGGUGACAAACCGGAGGAAGGUGGGGAUGACGUCAAGUCCUCAUGGCCCUUAUGGGUAGGGCCUCACACGUAAUACAAUGGCCGGUACAGAGGGCUGCCAACCCGCGAGGGGGAGCUAAUCUCAGAAAGCCGGUCGUAGUCCGGAUUGUUCUCUGCAACUCGAGAACAUGAAGUUGGAAUCGCUAGUAAUCGCGGAUCAGCAUGUCGCGGUGAAUACGUUCCCGGGCCUUGUA